Molecule: long non-coding RNA, 209 nt
Filed under: Elaeis guineensis (African oil palm)
Lineage: Eukaryota; Viridiplantae; Streptophyta; Magnoliopsida; Arecales; Arecaceae
Description: long non-coding RNA (EGUI_LNC078360)
Source: RNAcentral
AGGAGCAAGUAGGAUUUCAUGAUCCUCUCCUCCCAUUCAAAGGGGUGCUCUUCAUGGCGUGUAGGGGUGCCACUAUAAGGUCCCAUGAAGAAAAAAGUAAAAAAAAAACUUACUUUCUUGCAAAAUCCUAGAUCUUGAAACCCUAGGUGUUGUUGUAUGUGUGCAAGUUGUGAAGAUAGUUAGUUACAUCUAAUCUUGUUUAGUUAGAA